AAAUGCAAAUUAUAAGGCUAGACUUUCUGUCUAUUGUUUUAAAAUUUAAAACUUUCGUCGACACGUACUUAAGAGUUUUAAGAACUUGAUUAUUGUUUUAAACUAUAUUUUAGGAAUAAAGAUCUAGAAUAAUGUUAGGCUAGCUAGAGACAAGAAGAAAAUUAAUAUAUAAUAGUCACAAUUCUAGAACUCGACAUAAAUAUAACAGAUUAAAGAAUAGACCAACAAAUGAUUAAAAUGAGAUUCUAAAGUUCUACCAAAAAAAAAGUCUAUCCACCGAAGACCAUAUAUAUACUAGGGGAAUUUACGUGUUUACCAUUUUUAUGCUACCAUUUUUCAUUUUUACCACCAUUAAAAAGACAUUUUCAAAAAUACAUUAUUCAUUAAGUGGCAAAAAACUCUUAUGUCUUGUUCUUUAUAUAUAUAAUAAAUAAAUAUUUAAAUAAUUAAAAAUAUAAAAAUAUAAAAAAUAUUUUUUUUUUCUUCGAAUUAUACUAUUUCGAAAUUCAAACCUUAAACCCUAAAACUCAACUCUAAACCUUAAACCAUCAAUCCUAAACCUUUUUUUUGAAAUACGAACCCUAAACCCUAAACCAUCAAUCCUAAACCCUAAACCCCGAAACAUCAACUCUAAACCCUAAACUUUCAACUCUAAACCCUAAAACAUCAACUCUAAACCCAAAACUUAAACUUCAACUCUAAACCCUAAACUUCAACUCUAAACCCUAAACCAUCAACACUAAACCCUAAACUUUCAACACUAAACCAUAAACCCUAAAAAGUAAACUCUAAACUCUAAACGCUAAAAAAUUAACCCUAAAUCCUAAACAUCAACUCUAAACUUUAAACCCUAAACUUUCAACUCUAAACCCUAAACUCUAAACUCUAAACUCUAAAUCAUAAACCCUAAACCCUAAACUCUAAAUCCUAAAACUCUAGAGUUGAUGUUUUAAGGUUUAGAUUUGAAGGUUUAGGGUUUUAGGGUUUACGUUUAGAGUUUAGAGUUGAUGUUUUAGGAUUUAGAUUUGAAGGUUUAGGGUUUUAGGGUUUAGAGUUUGAAUUUCAGAAAAAUAUAGGGUUUAGGGUUUAGGGUUUACGUUUAGGGUUUAGAGUUGAUGUUUUAGGGUUUAGAUUUGAAAGUUUAGAGUUUAGGGUUUAGAGUUGAUGUUUUGGGGUUUAGGGUUUAGAGUUGAUGUUUCUUGGUUUAGAGUUUAGAGUUGAUGAUUUAAGGUUUAAAGUUGAUGUUUUAAGUUUUGAUUUAAGGUUUAGGGUUUAUGUUUAGGGUUUAGAGUUGAUGUUUUAGGGUUUAGAUUUGAAAGUUUAGGUUUUAGGGUUUAGAGUUGAUGUUUCGAGGUUUAGGGUUUAGAGUUGAUGUUUCAUGGUUUAGGGUUUAGAGUUGAUGAUUUAGGGUUUAGAGAUGAUGUUUCAAUUUUAGAUUAGUUAACCGUAUGUUUUUUUUUGUCAAAGUUAAUCAAAAGGUUAUGAAAGUCUUUUACCUUUCAUUAAAGAUGAAGGUAAAAAUAGUUAGCGUAAACAUGAAAAGUGGUAUUUUGAAAAUGAUAUUUUUGAAUGGUAUUUUUGGUAAUUUUCGUAUGUACUUUCUCAAAAAAGAAGACCAUAUAUCUAAAAAUGAAAUGAACUAUUUUCCGUUAUUUUUCUCGUUGAUAACCAAAACUUAAGAUAUUGUAUUUUAACUUUUAUUAGACUAGAUUGAAGUCCAUCUGGUUGUUUCAUUUUCAAUCACGAGUUGUGACGAUAAAAUGUUUGGUCUGAAAAAU
Molecule: long non-coding RNA, 1778 nt
Filed under: Brassica napus (rape)
Lineage: Eukaryota; Viridiplantae; Streptophyta; Magnoliopsida; Brassicales; Brassicaceae
Description: long non-coding RNA (BNAP_LNC016618)
Source: RNAcentral